ACACCCAGUUUCCUUCCAUCUUUCCACCCUGCCAGCCUCUGCUCAGAAUAACUGUUCCUCAAACUGAGGCACAACACCGUCCAGCAGCCAAGGAGCAGAACAGCAGCUCUACGAAGAGCAAGGGGAACCCCGUUCUUCCAAGCCCCUCAACAGCUUUGCUUCCAUCUGUGAGAACCACGCCCGGUGCCUAACUUAGCAAAGGGAGUGCCCCUCCCCCCAUGACCUGUGCUGCUCCCAGACCGGGGAGUGGGAGCGGAGUCCGCCUUCUCUGAGGCCCAGGAAGGAGGAGAGUAGAAACAAAGCCAAGGUCCAGGAGUCACACCGAGAAGGCGGACAGGGACCCCUGGAACAACUGGAGCCGGGGUGGCAGAGAUGGCAGCCAAGAUGGAGGUGGCCUGGGUCCCCGAAACCCCGCACAGAGGACAGUGGCUCAGAAUGCCACUGAGCUGCAUUGGACAGUAAGUUCCUCUCCAUGGAUCUUGAUCGACCUCUCAUUAUACGUCACAAGUUUGUUGAUACCUAUCCAGGCUGGAACAUCCAUGGGGUGGCACCCGGCCACACAGAGUCUACAGAAGGCUCCGGAGGGUGAAGUUGUUGUCAAUGGAACACAUAGCAUGAAUGGUUUGAAGAAGCUUCUAGGUAAUUCUGAUUGACCAUUCCAGCCCCCGCCCCCCACAUCCAACCCCAUUUGAGGAUCAGCGAGGAACAUCUUAGCUGUGGGGUCUGAUGGAAUUACCUGGCCUCUCUGAGCCUCCAUUUCCAAAUCUGUUCCUUCACAGGUGGUUUAAGA
RNAcentral lists this long non-coding RNA (790 nucleotides) under Mustela putorius furo (domestic ferret). RNAcentral's name for it is "lncRNA (ENSMPUG00000024945.1)". The record is from RNAcentral. Lineage: Eukaryota; Metazoa; Chordata; Mammalia; Carnivora; Mustelidae.